CCUACGGGAGGCAGCAGUGGGGGAUAUUGCACAAUGGGGGGAACCCUGAUGCAGCGACGCCGCGUGGGUGAAGGAGCGUUUCGGCGCGUAAAGCUCUAUCGGCAGGGAAGAAGGCGGACGGUACCUGACUAAGAAGCCUCGGCUAACUACGUGCCAGCAGCCGCGGUAAUACGGAGGGGGCGAGCGUUAUCCGGAUUUACUGGGUGUAACGGGGGCGCAGACGGCUGCGCAAGCCAGCGGUGAAAGCCCGGGGCCCAACCCCGGGACUGCUCUUGGAACUGCGCGGCUUGAGUGCAGGUGGGGCAGGCGGAAUGCCUGGUGUAGCGGUGAAAUGCGUAGAUAUCAGGAGGAACACCGGUGGCGAAGGCGGCCUGCUGGACUGCGACUGACGUUGAGGCCCGAAAGCGUGGGGAGCAAACAGGAUUAGAUACCCGAGUAGUC
Molecule: ribosomal RNA, 441 nt
Filed under: uncultured bacterium
Lineage: Bacteria
Description: partial 16S ribosomal RNA
Rfam family: Bacterial small subunit ribosomal RNA
Source: RNAcentral